AUGUCCCAUGGCGCCCUCCUCCGACCUUCCCGCGGGUUGCACGUUCAACCCACACGAUGCCGACCUAAUCUCCGCCUACCUCCGCCCCAUGAACCAGCCGCCAGCUUCCUGCACUCCGCCGACGUCUACGCCGCCGAUCCGGCCACGCUCGUCGCCGGACACCUGCCCGCGGUCCUGGCGUCGCCCAAGACCAGCGACGAGAGGCGCUACUGGUACUUCUUCGGCUCCGCCAAGGCCAGGUCCGUGCGCGACAAGCGCAGGUCCCGAGUGGUCGGCGACGGCAAGGGCCAGUGGCACUCCGAGAAGGGCAGGAAGGUUGUUUCCGAUGACCAGGGACGAAACAUCAGAGGAUACAAGCAGGAGUUCACCUAUAAGCCCACCAACGCCGACGGAUCUGAGGAGGAGGUAUGGCUCAUGGUUGAGUUCGGUGUGGAUCAAGAAGAUGAGGACGAGACCGGCAAAUCCAUCCCCACUCUUUGCAAGAUCUAUCCAAGCCCGCAGAUCAAUUACAGCUUCUCCAUAUCGGACCAUACCGGUUCCACGGUGAGCACCUAUCCAUAUGACAACAUGGUCCUCCAUGGUGGUUCAGUCACGCCCUUCUCUGAGAUUUCUGAUCAAGCCAACUUCUUCAGGCCAGUCUUUGAACCACAACCUGUUGUUGAGUCACAGAGCAAGAGUACAAUGCUAAAUUGCAGCUUCCUGCAGUGUGCCCCAAAUGCUGGCACUUCUGGUUCUUGGACAGGAGGCGACACCACGGACGAUGAAGUGGCCUCGAUCAAUUGCUUGGCUCAUGCUCUUGGAAUUCUUCGCUGCCUGAUAACUAAUGAAGACUGCAGACAGACAGUGGAUUACUCUAGCUUUCAGGCGCUGAUCAAGUAA
This 879-nucleotide ribosomal RNA is filed under the name Triticum aestivum (bread wheat). RNAcentral's name for it is "partial small subunit ribosomal RNA". Lineage: Eukaryota; Viridiplantae; Streptophyta; Magnoliopsida; Poales; Poaceae. The record is from RNAcentral.